GAAUGACAAGAGACUAGCUCCCUAACGCGCACCAUCACCUCCUGAGCGAAGGUACCAGGCCAGAAGACCUGGGAGACCAGGCCCUUGGCGCAGGCCUCCUGGGCUGUCAGCUUGCGGCCACUCAGCAGCAUCUCGUUUGCCUGUGGGGGGGGAGGGGUAACACUCAGAAGAUUGUUCUCCUGCUCACACUACACUGCUAUUUCUUGGUCUACUGCAAUACCAUUCUUUUUUUUUUUUUUUUUUUUUUUUUUUUUUAAAUCGGACAGGAAAUUUCAGCCGGGGGAGGGACACCUGGGCACAGCAGGUCCACUGAGUGAGCCUGCAGUGUCCCAUCCUAAUAAACCUGAGGUAUGAGUCUUAAAGAAUGACUCUUACAUUUUAUUUAGCAAGACGCUUUUAUCCAAAGCAAUGUGCAGUUGAGAAAGCAGGGCCAGCAAGUCCCUGGCACUAAGGUUAAGGCCUUCCGUCGUGGGCCCGACGCUGAGAUCUCUCUGCAGACUGUGUGGUUUGACCCAGGGGCUUUCCAAUCACAGGCACAGCGUCCUAACCCACUAAGCCAUACAUCACCCCCAGUUAGGAGAUGAAGAGGUUCAAGGGGAGGCUUAAAAACAGCAGGAGGCUGUAGCUGAGUGCUGCCUGGCUCUGAACAGCCCAUCAGAGCUGACGGCAGUCGGCCUAAAUCUGAGACAAGCAGGACAAAGGGCGGUGUGCCCUUGUUAAUUAUUAUCCCUAGCCUAACCUAUAACCACACCUAUAUGCAGCUGGCGGCCAUCUAAUAGCCAUCACCACGCAGACGUGGAUGGGAGUCCUGGGUUCACAGCAUGAGGCCCAACACGCUCUGAAUAUCUGCUCAGUCUGAGAUGACCAGUGAGCAGCCAGACCAAGGCUCUCGUCUAUGAUACGUUUCCAAGACGACUCACAGAUGCCACCCCCAUGACGCGGGGGAAGGUGAAGGAGGAACAGGCGUCGGGUGUCUGGCCGAAGGCUGCGUACGGUGUCUGGAACCAGGCCUUCUCGGUGGCCCAGAUGACGUCGCACAGCGGCAGAAUGGCGGCGCCCAGGCCCACGGCGGGGCCGUUCACCGCCACCACAAUGGGCUUCUUGAACUGGAUGAAGGUGUUCACGAAGGUCCUGGAUGAAGCGGAGGGGGAUGGUCAUCCUCAAUGACAAUCACAAAAGAGGCAGAGCAACAAUAAAAAAGGAAACAGCUGAACAAAUAAGUUGGAAUAACAGUGCCAGGAAAGCAAGGACAAGAGGCAAUAAGUCUACAGAGAAAGGAUCUCCACAGGUCGAGUUACUCACAGUGAAGCUGGAAAACAAAUUCAGUGCUCAUAGUGGCCAGGAAAGAGAGGGCUGAGUCAUACAGACCCGGGUCUGAGUCCCACAGCACCAUAAUCUGACUGCUGUGGGGGGGCGGGGUUAAGGGAUUAUGUUCUCUCUGAUGCGUAAGCACCAACUGGAAAUCCAGCAGGCAUCUACAUGGAGCAGAUUUACAGUGAUGACAGAUCCUCCGUUAUAUACAGAAAUGGGUAUGAGGUACAAGUUCUGUAAUUUACUCUGUCCAUGUACGUUUUCAGUCGUCAAAUUCUGGUUAAGAUGAUACAGUGAAGCGAUCCAGGCACCCUACAGCUCUUUGAUUAUGAAGCUUGAUUAUCAGUCGCCCGAUUCACUGUCGGCUGAGUUGAACGUCUCUUUGAUACAACAGACCAAACAGGAAGCGUCGCUUUCC
This is a long non-coding RNA of Paramormyrops kingsleyae, 1729 nucleotides long. RefSeq lists it as uncharacterized. The record is from RefSeq and is a predicted model, not a curated record. NCBI's taxonomy places the organism in Eukaryota, Metazoa, Chordata, Actinopteri, Osteoglossiformes, Mormyridae.